UAACAAUGUUUAUCAGUUUAGUGUAUUUUUAUUGAUUAUUCAUUUUACUAGGAUUGUUGAAAUUAUCAAUUUUAGUUACAAUAAUGGGAAACAUACUGUAUGGUAUAAAAUCUUGUUGUUGUUGUAGACAAAAUAUGAAACUUGCAGCACUUUUAGUUAUUGUUUUGACAAUGCUUUCAUGUAUAGUGAUAAUAAACGAGAUUACAAACCCAUCAUGCUCAAACUUAUACGCUCCACAUACAAAUCUCACAGAGACCUUGAAAAUAAUGAAAGCCUCUCUUUUCAUACUCGUGUUGGGUCUAAUGAUAAGCUGCUUUAUAUUUAUGUUGAAUAUUUUCUUUUUUAAACAUCCGCUUUCAGUCAUCCUGUUUCAAUUGUUCUUGGUAACAUCACUUAUAUCCUUGGUUCCCUACACAAUACUUGUAGUGGUGCAAUCGGAGAGAAUUAUGUGCACAAAUAUCGCCACAACAACUAAUCUAUUUAUUAUCUGUAUAGGUUGGUUUUACUUUGAAAUAGUGAUAAAUGCAUACAGAAAGGAAAUUUAUAAAUGAAAUGAUAUCAAAAAUUUAAAACGUUUUCUGUGGUAUUUUUUUCUUCUGUUUAAACGUCUGUUUUUUACGUUGAUAUCUGUCAUUGUAUGUUUACGAUAAGUUAAAAGUUAAAAUCGAAAUGGCUGAUUUUUCGUACAUUUCCUCCGUGAAAUACUGCUGUUUUUGUGUUGAUUUGAAAAUAGGAUGUAUAUUAAUAGCUAUAUAUGGAAUCCUUGACUGCACAGACAUCGGAAUGGUUACAAUGUAUCCAAUAUGCCCUGACAGUGCCAACAGUAUCGUAAUUCUUCUCAAAAGUAUAAUCACUAUUGUGUGUUUUAUCUCCAAUAUUGCUAUGUUGGCAACAAGCAUAAUAUUUCUGUAUGGUGUUGUACGGGGUAUAAAAGAAACUGCAACGUGGUUUAUGUUCGCGAUAUUAUUUUCUCUGACAGUCCGUGUUGCAUAUAUUAUAACUGCCCUUAUCGUGGGCUUAUUAUUUUCUUGCUGCAGUUUUUUCGACGUACGUAUAGUGCAUCAGGCUAUCAGUUUCAUAAUAUGGUUUCAUUUUCUAACAGUCGUGAAGAGUUACAGACAUAUCAUGUAAAUGCCAACAAUUAUUCCUGAAGUGUAUUUUUUAAACUUUAACUUAUGAAGAAGAUAUGUGUGUGCUUUAUAAUUAUAUCUUAAUCCUAUCCAAAAAUAAAUGUUUAAAUUUG
Long non-coding RNA from Papilio polytes (common Mormon), 1243 nucleotides. RefSeq lists it as uncharacterized. Lineage: Eukaryota; Metazoa; Arthropoda; Insecta; Lepidoptera; Papilionidae. The record is from RefSeq and is a predicted model, not a curated record. The transcript has 8 exons.